UCCUUGACCAACCGUCGUCCACAGUAAGUAGUACCCGUGCUCCUAAAGCUUCCCUGGGAUUAAUAUUGCACUGAUCACAUUGGCUUCAGUGAUGUUUUUCCUUCCACUUCCUGCUCUAGUGUAGAACUCACAGGGCGGGGACAAGGUUUUCAUAUACCCAGCACGGGGAACAGCAGCCCUUGGUUAACAUGUACUGAAUGAAUCACAGGAAGUGGUGGCUGGAGCUCAUUCACACUAGCAUGUAAAUGACUAAUAUACAUCCUUUCCUGAAAACAACCCUUGAUGGAGGAGAGGAAGGGGAAAUCCCAGAGCCCCGGGCAAGUGAAGCCAGGGAAGCAGCCCCACCUGGAGAGGGACAGGUCCAGGGAGUUGGGAGGCCCAGCUUCAACCCUGGUUAUGAAGGAUUAAAUCACGCAGCCCGUGGUAUUUUCCUAACUCCUCUCAGUGGCGGCAGAGCAUGAAAGUGAAAUCAGGAGCUCUCCCCAGAGGCCCCGCUGCCGACCGCAGGCCACUCUUCAGAAGGAGCAGCAGCCACCGAAGAGGCACAGCCCUCAUGCACUCCAGAGACCAUGGGCAGCUGCCUCCAUGGCCGUGUCCUGCCCUGUCUCCCCUCCCAGCCCUGGGCUGGCUCUGGCCCCCGAGGAGUAGACAAGGACACAGCUGCCCCUCGUUCAAAUGCCAGGAGAAGGCUCCCAGCCAGCAUUCCAGACAGAACACUCCAGGUGCUCCAUGACACACGGACAGAUCCUUGCAGAGAAGUGAGACGUUCUAGAGCCUGGACAAUUCCAUAAAUGGCCGUGAGGACUUUGCUUUAAGGACUUUGCUCUCGGAAGCUGGAUUUUCCCUCUAUGAGUUAGAAUUCCAUGACAACAUGGCACCCAAAACACAGAUGCUGUUUACCUCUGUUCAUACAGUCAAGCUCAUUAAAAUUCAUUAAAGCCACCGACUAUCAUUCUACUGAAAAUCACUUAUAACAAAUCAGACUUACAACAGAUUUUGAUGUUGCAUAGUAUUCAAUUUGAUCAAAUCAGUCAAGACGUUGAAAGCUCCCAUAAGGGGAAGAAGGAGGGCGAUGUAGAAAUAUAAAGGGGUAAAAUGACGGUACAAUGGCCAGAGUGCAGAGUGCGCAGAAACCGGAAUUCACCUUCCUGAAGGCCAGCUCAGGGCAGGAUUCUAACACACACACACACACACACACACACACACACGCUCAGGCAUUCAUGCACAUGUACACACGCAUGCACACGUGUGCACAUGCAUGCACAUAAGCACACAGUGGCUUCACAUUGCUGCUCGAUGACUCCUUUCUGACAUGAAAACGCUACUUUGCACUUUUCACCCUCUCCCCAACUAUGAAUUCCUGCAUACUUAUCCCCAGAAAUUAGAAUUCACAUGGCAGAUAAUAGAAUUUCUGCCAAUUAGUUCACUUAUCUAACAAGGUAGGCUCUUUCUCUACUGGAAAUGGUCAUCUGUAGGUUAUCAUAACAUUUCACAUGGGCUUCUUCCGGGGAACGGGAAGGAACAAGGACAGUCAGCAAUUGUCUCCAGAGCAUCGCCUUGCUGGUUUAAAUGCUCCAGGAAGUGUUUGCCGUGGGACCAACGGCAGGUAGGGGCACAGGUGGAGUGUGCUGGGGACAGGAGGGGCUGCCUGGGAAGGUAAAAAGGAAUGGGAAGAAAGAGAGGGACUAUCCCAGCGAGGAGCAGUGUGAUCUUGAUACCUUCAAUGCCUGUGAGCCAAGCAUUCAGGAUUUAUUUCUACCCCAAUUAUCCUAAGAGAGGCAAUGGCCUCAUUCAGUGCCAUGGAGAAAUGGGCUCUAGCUCCUAGAUGACAAUGGCGGCCAGCCUCUGCGGAUGGACAGGAGAGCUGCCAGAGAGAGCCAGGGCCAUCCUAGUGGCGGUUGCGAGCCUCACCCCAACCCGCUCCAAACCCACCCCGGAGGCAGGUGCUGCCAACGCCACGUAAAGCACCUG
Molecule: long non-coding RNA, 1971 nt
Filed under: Homo sapiens (human)
Lineage: Eukaryota; Metazoa; Chordata; Mammalia; Primates; Hominidae
Description: HSALNT0131373
Source: RNAcentral